UGCUUCAUAGGUGGAAAUUCACUCCCAUGAAUUCUGGUCUGAUUUUACUUUACCCCCUUCAUUUUGUUUUAGUGCCUGCAAGAGUUUCAUUUGAAUUCACUCUUCUCUUCAGCCUUAGCACGAAGCUGCACUACAUGAAGAGAGAUCCUGAUAAUUUUGAAAUAGGAUUGAUCUUCUUUGAAAUGAAAAUCCAAUUUUAAAACUGACUGAAGGCCGAUCCUAAAAUAAAGAAUGUGUAUCGUCAAUCAGCACAUAGCAAACAGCACUACUGUAUUUCUAAUAAUUCAGGCCAGAACAGCGGGGCUGGGGGCCCACAAAAGGAAGGUGAGCCAGGAGCAUCCGAUGGUGGCUUUCCAGAGAGGGUCUGAGGACCAUGUGAAGAAGGUGAAUUGGUGGCCCCCUGGGGGGAGGGAGGUGGUCCACGUGAGGAAGACCUAAGGCCUAGAACCUCAGCUCUGCUUUCACCAGCUGCAUGGCUGUGAGCAAGACACUUUUUCUGAGGCGCAGCUUCUCUGUCAAUAAACUAAGUGACUGGCCUACA
This 541-nucleotide long non-coding RNA is filed under the name Felis catus (domestic cat). RNAcentral describes it as "lncRNA (ENSFCAG00000046858.1)". Lineage: Eukaryota; Metazoa; Chordata; Mammalia; Carnivora; Felidae. The record is from RNAcentral.